GGUUAAGCGACUAAGCGUACACGGUGGAUGCCCUGGCAGUCAGAGGCGAUGAAGGACGUGCUAAUCUGCGAUAAGCGUCGGUAAGGUGAUAUGAACCGUUAUAACCGGCGAUUUCCGAAUGGGGAAACCCAGUGUGAUUCGUCACACUAUCAUUAACUGAAUCCAUAGGUUAAUGAGGCGAACCGGGGGAACUGAAACAUCUAAGUACCCCGAGGAAAAGAAAUCAACCGAGAUUCCCCCAGUAGCGGCGAGCGAACGGGGAGGAGCCCAGAGCCUGAAUCAGUGUGUGUGUUAGUGGAAGCGUCUGGAAAGGCGCGCGAUACAGGGUGACAGCCCCGUACACAAAAAUGCACAUACUGUGAGCUCGAUGAGUAGGGCGGGACACGUGGUAUCCUGUCUGAAUAUGGGGGGACCAUCCUCCAAGGCUAAAUACUCCUGACUGACCGAUAGUGAACCAGUACCGUGAGGGAAAGGCGAAAAGAACCCCGGCGAGGGGAGUGAAAAAGAACCUGAAACCGUGUACGUACAAGCAGUGGGAGCACAGAGCAAUCUGUGUGACUGCGUACCUUUUGUAUAAUGGGUCAGCGACUUAUAUUCUGUAGCAAGGUUAACCGAAUAGGGGAGCCGAAGGGAAACCGAGUCUUAACCGGGCGUUAAGUUGCAGGGUAUAGACCCGAAACCCGGUGAUCUAGCCAUGGGCAGGUUGAAGGUUGGGUAACACUAACUGGAGGACCGAACCGACUAAUGUUGAAAAAUUAGCGGAUGACUUGUGGCUGGGGGGUGAAAGGCCAAUCAAACCGGGAGAUAGCUGGUUCUCCCCGAAAGCUAUUUAGGUAGCGCCUCGUGAAUUCAUCUCCGGGGUAGAGCACUGUUUCGGCAAGGGGUCAUCCCGACUUACCAACCCGAUGCAAACUGCGAAUACCGGAGAAUGUUAUCACGGGAGACACACGGCGGGUGCUAACGUCCGUCGUGAAGAGGGAAACAACCCAGACCGCCAGCUAAGGUCCCAAAGUCAUGGUUAAGUGGGAAACGAUGUGGGAAGGCCCAGACAGCCAGGAUGUUGGCUUAGAAGCAGCCAUCAUUUAAAGAAAGCGUAAUAGCUCACUGGUCGAGUCGGCCUGCGCGGAAGAUGUAACGGGGCUAAACCAUGCACCGAAGCUGCGGCAGCGACACUGUGUGUUGUUGGGUAGGGGAGCGUUCUGUAAGCCUGUGAAGGUGUGCUGUGAGGCAUGCUGGAGGUAUCAGAAGUGCGAAUGCUGACAUAAGUAACGAUAAAGCGGGUGAAAAGCCCGCUCGCCGGAAGACCAAGGGUUCCUGUCCAACGUUAAUCGGGGCAGGGUGAGUCGACCCUAAGGCGAGGCCGAAAGGCGUAGUCGAUGGGAAACAGGUUAAUAUUCCUGUACUUGGUGUUACUGCGAAGGGGGGACGGAGAAGGCUAUGUUGGCCGGGCGACGGUUGUCCCGGUUUAAGCGUGUAGGCUGGUUUUCCAGGCAAAUCCGGAAAAUCAAGGCUGAGGCGUGAUGACGAGGCACUACGGUGCUGAAGCAACAAAUGCCCUGCUUCCAGGAAAAGCCUCUAAGCAUCAGGUAACAUCAAAUCGUACCCCAAACCGACACAGGUGGUCAGGUAGAGAAUACCAAGGCGCUUGAGAGAACUCGGGUGAAGGAACUAGGCAAAAUGGUGCCGUAACUUCGGGAGAAGGCACGCUGAUAUGUAGGUGAAGUCCCUCGCGGAUGGAGCUGAAAUCAGUCGAAGAUACCAGCUGGCUGCAACUGUUUAUUAAAAACACAGCACUGUGCAAACACGAAAGUGGACGUAUACGGUGUGACGCCUGCCCGGUGCCGGAAGGUUAAUUGAUGGGGUCAGCGCAAGCGAAGCUCUUGAUCGAAGCCCCGGUAAACGGCGGCCGUAACUAUAACGGUCCUAAGGUAGCGAAAUUCCUUGUCGGGUAAGUUCCGACCUGCACGAAUGGCGUAAUGAUGGCCAGGCUGUCUCCACCCGAGACUCAGUGAAAUUGAACUCGCUGUGAAGAUGCAGUGUACCCGCGGCAAGACGGAAAGACCCCGUGAACCUUUACUAUAGCUUGACACUGAACAUUGAGCCUUGAUGUGUAGGAUAGGUGGGAGGCUUUGAAGUGUGGACGCCAGUCUGCAUGGAGCCGACCUUGAAAUACCACCCUUUAAUGUUUGAUGUUCUAACGUGGACCCGUGAUCCGGGUUGCGGACAGUGUCUGGUGGGUAGUUUGACUGGGGCGGUCUCCUCCUAAAGAGUAACGGAGGAGCACGAAGGUUGGCUAAUCCUGGUCGGACAUCAGGAGGUUAGUGCAAUGGCAUAAGCCAGCUUGACUGCGAGCGUGACGGCGCGAGCAGGUGCGAAAGCAGGUCAUAGUGAUCCGGUGGUUCUGAAUGGAAGGGCCAUCGCUCAACGGAUAAAAGGUACUCCGGGGAUAACAGGCUGAUACCGCCCAAGAGUUCAUAUCGACGGCGGUGUUUGGCACCUCGAUGUCGGCUCAUCACAUCCACGGGGCUGAAGUAGGUCCCAAGGGUAUGGCUGUUCGCCAUUUAAAGUGGUACGCGAGCUGGGUUUAGAACGUCGUGAGACAGUUCGGUCCCUAUCUGCCGUGGGCGCUGGAGAACUGAGGGGGGCUGCUCCUAGUACGAGAGGACCGGAGUGGACGCAUCACUGGUGUUCGGGUUGUCAUGCCAAUGGCACUGCCCGGUAGCUAAAUGCGGAAGAGAUAAGUGCUGAAAGCAUCUAAGCACGAAACUUGCCCCGAGAUGAGUUCUCCCUGACCCUUUAAGGGUCCUGAAGGAACGUUGAAGACGACGACGUUGAUAGGCCGGGUGUGUAAGCGCAGCGAUGCGUUGAGCUAACCGGUACUAAUGAACCGUGAGGCUUAACCUU
This 2904-nucleotide ribosomal RNA is filed under the name Escherichia coli. RNAcentral describes it as "23S ribosomal RNA". It matches the Rfam family "Bacterial large subunit ribosomal RNA". The record is from RNAcentral. Lineage: Bacteria; Pseudomonadati; Pseudomonadota; Gammaproteobacteria; Enterobacterales; Enterobacteriaceae.